Molecule: unclassified non-coding RNA, 205 nt
Filed under: Hevea brasiliensis (rubber tree)
Lineage: Eukaryota; Viridiplantae; Streptophyta; Magnoliopsida; Malpighiales; Euphorbiaceae
Source: RNAcentral
GACGACCAUAAGAUGGAUAGGACGGCCCAUCCAUUUACUAAUGCUAAGAUAGGGAGAAAGCAUCCAUCCCAAACAAAUUAUUCAAAUCUCUAGUUAAAUUCUUUUAUAUUCAAGUUACAAUUCAUCAAACACAGAAAUUGAACUAUUACGCGAAGCAAAAAUCCCUUCUUUUCUGGUAUGCAGAUACACUUGAAAUGGAUUAAAG